GGGAAAAGCCAAUCGGGCUUGGGGGAGGAGCAACCCAAGGCCCUUAAUUUCCAAGGCUCC
Non-coding RNA from Chelonia mydas (Green sea turtle), 60 nucleotides. The record is from Rfam. NCBI's taxonomy places the organism in Eukaryota, Metazoa, Chordata, Testudines, Cheloniidae.